Lytechinus pictus (painted urchin) is the source of this 671-nucleotide long non-coding RNA. RefSeq lists it as uncharacterized. NCBI's taxonomy places the organism in Eukaryota, Metazoa, Echinodermata, Echinoidea, Temnopleuroida, Toxopneustidae. The record is from RefSeq and is a predicted model, not a curated record. The transcript is spliced from 3 exons.
UCGUACGUCAUAAUUUGACCCCAUCGUCACUUCCGCUUAAUUAAGGGCUGAAAGAUGACGUCACCCGCACAGAAGAAGACUAUAUCCUUGAGAGAUUUUCGACAUAGAACAUGAUGCUGCUUCACAUCCUCUUUUAGAGACUCAAGGAUUACAAGACCGAAUUAAGCUGCAGGACCCUCCUGAUUCAAAAAGACAUGGAACAUGACUCUGCUUCACAUCCUCUGUUUUAGAGACUCAAGAAAUACAAGACCAAAUUAAGGGUUUGCUUUUUAAUUCCCAUAAUUUUCUGGAGGAAGAAUUAGGGAAUAAUGCAUUGACAAUAUGCCAAACAUCCUAUAUCAAACUGAAUUACUGCAUGUAUUUACAAUAGAGUGUUGUAACCACUUCCCCCCCCCCCACACUACUGACCAAACAAAACCCAUAAACAAUUUAAGAGGGAUAGGGUUAUUUUAGGGGUAAUUAUACUUGCUGAUUGUAGCAGUAGUUUUUACAAUUAUGGAUGUAGAUAAUAAUGUUUAUAAUAAUAAUACUUAGAAUAAUAAAUUUAUUACAAUGACAUAACAGGAAUGAUAAAUAAAAAUUCAGCAAUAUAAUUUGUACAUGAAAUUGUGUAACAGUUUUGGCAAUGAAGAAUUUUAAACAAAAAUAAUGAUCAAUGAAUUCGGGGGGGG